This 72-nucleotide transfer RNA is filed under the name Fukomys damarensis (Damara mole-rat). It matches the Rfam family "tRNA". Rfam says of the family: Transfer RNA (tRNA) molecules are approximately 80 nucleotides in length. Their secondary structure includes four short double-helical elements and three loops (D, anti-codon, and T loops). The record is from Rfam by way of RNAcentral. Lineage: Eukaryota; Metazoa; Chordata; Mammalia; Rodentia; Bathyergidae.
GGAAGUGUAGCUCAGCGGUAGAGCAAGUGCUUGGCAUGCACAAGGACCUGAGUUUGUUCCUUAGUAUCACCA